RNAcentral lists this ribosomal RNA (520 nucleotides) under uncultured bacterium. RNAcentral's name for it is "partial 16S ribosomal RNA". It matches the Rfam family "Bacterial small subunit ribosomal RNA", at positions 28 to 523 of the family's 1533-position model. The record is from RNAcentral.
GACGAAUGCUGGCGGCGUGCUUAACACAUGCAAGUCGAACGGACUAUUUCAUUUCGGUGGAAUAGUUAGUGGCGAACGGGUGAGUAACGCGUAGACAACCUACCUCUUAGAUGGGGACAACACCGCGAAAGUGGUGCUAACACCGAAUAUUGCUUGAGAAGCGCAUGCUUUUCAAACUAAAGAUGGCCUCUAUUUAUAAGCUAUCGCUAAAGAAUGGGUCUGCGUCUGAUUAGCUAGUUGGUGAGAUAAAAGCUCACCAAGGCAACGAUCAGUAGCCGGUCUGAGCGGAUGAACGGCCACACUGGGACUGAGACACGGCCCAGACUCCUACGGGAGGUAGCAGUGGGGAAUCUUCCGCAAUGGACGAAAGUCUGACGGAGCAACGCCGCGUGAGUGAUGAAGGUUUUCGGAUCGUAAAACUCUGUUGUUAAGGACGAAUGUAUAGAUUGUGAAUAAUGGUUUAUAAUGACGGUACUUAACGAGGAAGCCACGGCUAACUACGUGCCAGCAGCCGCGGUAA